Molecule: ribosomal RNA, 373 nt
Filed under: uncultured Leptolyngbya sp.
Lineage: Bacteria; Bacillati; Cyanobacteriota; Cyanophyceae; Leptolyngbyales; Leptolyngbyaceae
Description: bacterial SSU rRNA
Rfam family: Bacterial small subunit ribosomal RNA
Source: RNAcentral
CGGGGGGAACGCGAAGAACCCUUACCAGGGUUUGACAUGUCGCGAAUCCUCUUGAAAGGGAGGAGUGCCUACGGGAGCGCGAACACAGGUGGUGCAUGGGCUGUCGUCAGCUCGUGUCGUGAGAUGUUGGGUUAAGGUCCCGCAACGAGCCGUCCAACAUGGGCAAGUUGGGCACUCUAGAGAGACUGCCGGUGACAACCGGAGGAAGGUGUGGAUGACGUCAAGUCAGCAUUGCCCCUUACAUCCUGGGCUACACACGUACUACAAUGCGGUUACUGACAAAGGGCAGCGAGCUAGCGAUAGCAAGCUAAUCCCAUAAACCGGGCUCAGUUCAGAUUGCAGGCUGCAACUUGCGAUCCCGAAGGAGGAAUCG